UUCAACAUGCGCGCUAGUUGUUGGGAUUUGAUAAACCCGCUAGCAAAGUGAAAGCAAGUCACAGUGUUACGCUGUGGAUUGGCGUGAUCCCGUCACCGGUGGGUAGAGAUGCCUACUGGCCGGGCGCAUCGCCGGCCCGUCAUGAGCUCAAGUGGCUGUGGCGGAGCCUGAGCGUGCACGUUGAGACCCGAAAGAUGGUGAACUAUGCCUGGGCAGGAUGAAGCCAGGGGAAACUCUGGUGGAGGUCCGUAGCGAUUCUGACGUGCAAAUCGAUCGUCUGACCUGGGUAUAGGGGCGAAAGACUAAUCGAACCAUCUAGUAGCUGGUUCCCUCCGAAGUUUCCCUCAGGAUAGCUGGCACUCGGAGAACGUAGUCUCUCCCGGUAAAGCGAAUGAUUAGAGGUCUUGGGGUCGAAACGACCUCAACCUAUUCUCAAACUUUAAAUGGGUGAGAAGUCUGGCUUGCUUAAAUGCAAUUUAGCUGAAGUCUGGACGUUGGAUACGAGCGCCUAGUGGGC
Molecule: ribosomal RNA, 517 nt
Filed under: Ramazzottius oberhaeuseri
Lineage: Eukaryota; Metazoa; Tardigrada; Eutardigrada; Parachela; Ramazzottiidae
Description: eukaryotic LSU rRNA
Rfam family: Eukaryotic large subunit ribosomal RNA
Source: RNAcentral